Molecule: ribosomal RNA, 452 nt
Filed under: uncultured bacterium
Lineage: Bacteria
Description: bacterial SSU rRNA
Rfam family: Bacterial small subunit ribosomal RNA
Source: RNAcentral
UACGGGAGGCAGCAGUGGGGAAUAUUGCACAAUGGGCGAAAGCCUGAUGCAGCUAUGCCGCGUGUAUGAAGAAGGCCUUAGGGUUGUAAAGUACUUUCAUCGGGGAGGAAAAAACAAAACUAAUAAUUUUAUUUCUUGACGUUACCCGAAAAAGAAGCACCGGCUAACUCCGUGCCAGCAGCCGCGGUAAUACGGAGGGUGCGAGCGUUAAUCGGAAUUACUGGGCGUAAAGGGCACGCAGGCGGUUAAUUAAGUUGGAUGUGAAAUCCCCGGGCUUAACCUGGGAAUGGCAUUCAAGACUGGUUAGCUAGAGUCUUGUAGAGGGGGUAGAAUUCCAUGUGUAGCGGUGAAAUGCGUAGAGAUGUGGAGGAAUACCGGUGGCGAAGGCGGCCCCUGGACAAAGACUGACGCUCAUGUGCGAAAGCGUGGGGAGCAAACAGGGAUUAGAUACC